UUUAAAUUUACAGUGCUCUUGAGAACCUACGUACAUAUUAAAUCUGUACUGUAACAUAACUGUAUCCCUUCGAAAACAAUAGACUUGUAAGCUUUUGCUGAAAUUGAAGUGUUUAAUACACCUGGCAUUCAUCAGCAUUUGAACAAUGGUUUUAAAACGUUAUGGUUAGUUGAAAAUGCUUAGUGUAGUUUCAGCAGCCGUAGCUGUCAGAGCUGUAGAGAUGGAGUCUCAUCCGUCUUGAAAUAUAACAUUUUAAUGUGUUCAUUUCAACAUUUCCGAUAUUGCCCAGAAACUGAGAAAUUUAAAAAAAUCUUGCUGUUUUCUACUAAGACGUGCAACCAACUCCAGAGAUGGUGGGCUGUUCCUCAUGAACACGUCAACACGCACAACAUGUACUCACUGGUACAGAACCCAGAUGGUUUUAGAUAGACAGUCACUUUGAUUGUGGCCAUCAUUUAGGUGUGGAGCAAUGCUAGUGAGAUGAGAAAGUCUGCAAGAGGGAGAAUGAGAAUUAGAGAGGUUCCACUCAGCAGGAAACAAAAAGUGAAAUGAAACCUCUACUAAGAGUGUCUAGAGUUGUUUAUUAUUAAAGGAGUUUUACCAACUGCCAGGAACCCUUAUUCUCACCAUUACCUGUGGACCUGCAGUUGUUUUGUCACUGCAGCUUUCAUGACACUGGGCAAAGUGUCAUGACACUGGGAUGGAAACAUGCUCCAUGUGCUUUCAAAUAUAAUAAUAAUACAUGAGGGUCUCAGUUUUGAUAGAACGAAGCAACUCCUGUGAUUGCAGUUAUGGAGGCUUUCACUUAUACUAAACCAGUUUUGCUGGUGAGACCAAAGGACAGCUGCUGAUAUUUUAAUAUGUGAAGAAUCUGCGUAAAUUCCAGAACUAAACAGCAGUCUGUGCAGGAUUGUAUAGGAGGUGGUUGUUUUCCUCUGCACCUGAAUCUUUGAGUGUUUAUUAAGUACUGCCUGAACUGUCAUCUUAGGGCAGGUUUUGUACCCUGCAGUGUCUGUGCUGCAGAGAGCUGCAUCUACUGGUAUGUCUACUUGAAUGAGAUUGUAUGCUUCAUAAAAUAGUCUUCACACUAAGAGAACAUAUUGUGGGCUAGACUUUUUGCAUGUUUAAUAUGGACAUUUUUGUGUGACUUUUUUAAUGUCUUUGGAAAACAGCAGUGGUAUUUUCCUGGAUGUGUUCCUGUUGCUUUCCUUUGCUGAUUGCUAACAUGCUAGGAGGAGAUCAGGCAUAUUUUUAUCUUAUUGUAACAAAAUGAGUUCCAUGGAAACGGCAGCAGGGGAAGCCUGCUGAGCAGCUGGAGGUCAGAAAUCAGCCCACAUUUAGAAAUGAAGAAAGGCAGCAUGGUGGGGCAUGGCUGCCUGCAUUCACUGCUCCAGGGCUGGUCACUUCAACCUGCAGCAGGCUGGCUUAAGGCAAACUUUCUGCAAAUUAUGACAUUCAGUUAUGGCAGCUGUAGACUGUCACAUAGGCUGGAUGUGUGGCUACGGUGAAAGAUCUGGGGUUGUCACCACGGGGUGACCACAAGCCCUGUACACAACUGUCACCCAGUGGAAAGCCUGUUUUUUCAUGUCAGUGUAUCAUGUUUGUUGCAAAAACCCACUCAUGGCACCUAGCAGGGCUGAUCUGGAGUCCUAGAGAAAUUUGUUAGAACAGGAGUGUGAAAUAGGAAGGUAUGGGUUGGCUUCCCCUCACCCUACAGAGCACCGGGGUGCUGUGGGGCAGCGGGUGCAUCCCCAGCUGCAGGCCGCGCUCAUCGUUUCCAUGGCAACGCAAGAUGGCAGGUCUGCCCUGCUCCUCACAGUGCAAAAUGCCGGGUUUUGUCCAUCGGCUGAAGGCAGCAAUCCUGCCCUAGUGACAAAAGUGAACAAAUUAUUUAGGACACUCAGGAGAAAAAGCCACUUGAUAGUGUUUUAUCUGCUUAUCAUCUGGGGUGAUCUCUUCACCACGGUGAGGGAAAGAGUGGCAAAUCUGAUAAAGGUGACACAAACUGUCAGGAGAAUUGGUGGCAUCGAGGGAGGCCUGGUGCUAAUCAUCCAACUGGAGUGGAAGAGUUUGCAGGCUCUCUGUUGUGAGGAAAUCUGUGCAGCUGUGGUUCAGCAUCUGUAGUGUGCAAAAAUUAGCAACAAACUCAGCGAAAAACUGGAGCCUAUGCUAGACCUUGAUUCAAGAUGUAUGGCAACCUCCCUGCAUUUAAAGAACUCUGGUUCUGGUCCUUACUUGCAGAGUGACUAAGGUCUGUUUCCUUUCAAAAGCAUUUUGAAGCAGAUAUGGCAAGCAAUAGUGCAUCACCUCCAUGUGAGAUGCCUUUGUGAUAUUCACAGGAAGUCCCAGUCACAAAUAAAAAGACUGUUCUUCACUAGGAUCAAAUCAGAAUUAUUUGACAUCAGCUGGGUCAGGAUGGGGAGCUUUGAUCGGAGGAGAUGAAAGACGGGUGAAAACUCUGCUGGGCCAUAGAGUCCCCUGCUGAAACUGAAACUUCAUGCUACAACUGGGCCUCAUCUGACUUUAAUUAAAUAAGGGAAGAUCAAAGCCUACAAAUCUCCCUGAUCUAUAUCAGCACAGCAAAUUAAAGGUAAAAUUUCUCUGUAUCUUUUUGUUCCUUUGAAGUCAAUAGUGAACUUUGUGCUAUGCACGGGAACACAAUGAAUGCUGUUUGGGUAGCUGCAGGUUUACAAUAAUUUUGAUGUCAUGUUUAUGCAAGAGGAGAGAGGAAAGCCAUUUCUUGAAAUGAUGCCCUCACAGCUGUUGGGCCCCACUCCUCCCCCAGGUUGAUUUUAUCUUUGGGAUUUGCUUUGCCUUGCAAUGAUGCUAGGGGCACAAUUACA
Long non-coding RNA from Phasianus colchicus (ring-necked pheasant), 2843 nucleotides. RefSeq lists it as uncharacterized. Lineage: Eukaryota; Metazoa; Chordata; Aves; Galliformes; Phasianidae. The record is from RefSeq and is a predicted model, not a curated record.